GUCGACAACAGAGUUUGAUCAUGGCUCAGAUUGAACGCUGGCGGCAGGCCUAACACAUGCAAGUCGAACGGUAACAGGAAGAAGCUUGCUUCUUUGCUGACGAGUGGCGGACGGGUGAGUAAUGUCUGGGAAACUGCCUGAUGGAGGGGGAUAACUACUGGAAACGGUAGCUAAUACCGCAUAACGUCGCAAGACCAAAGAGGGGGACCUUCGGGCCUCUUGCCAUCGGAUGUGCCCAGAUGGGAUUAGCUAGUAGGUGGGGUAACGGCUCACCUAGGCGACGAUCCCUAGCUGGUCUGAGAGGAUGACCAGCCACACUGGAACUGAGACACGGUCCAGACUCCUACGGGAGGCAGCAGUGGGGAAUAUUGCACAAUGGGCGCAAGCCUGAUGCAGCCAUGCCGCGUGUAUGAAGAAGGCCUUCGGGUUGUAAAGUACUUUUCAGCGGGGAGGAAGGGAGUAAAGUUAAUACCUUUGCUCAUUGACGUUACCCGCAGAAGAAGCACCGGCUAACUCCGUGCCAGCAGCCGCGGUAAUACGGAGGGUGCAAGCGUUAAUCGGAAUUACUGGGCGUAAAGCGCACGCAGGCGGUUUGUUAAGUCAGAUGUGAAAUCCCCGGGCUCAACCUGGGAACUGCAUCUGAUACUGGCAAGCUUGAGUCUCGUAGAGGGGGGUAGAAUUCCAGGUGUAGCGGUGAAAUGCGUAGAGAUCUGGAGGAAUACCGGUGGCGAAGGCGGCCCCCUGGACGAAGACUGACGCUCAGGUGCGAAAGCGUGGGGGAGCAAACAGGAUUAGAUACCCUGGUAGUCCACGCCGUAAACGAUGUCGACUUGGAGGUUGUGCCCUUGAGGCGUGGCUUCCGGAGCUAACGCGUUAAGUCGACCGCCUGGGGAGUACGGCCGCARGGUUAAAACUCAAAUGAAUUGACGGGGGCCCGCACAAGCGGUGGAGCAUGUGGUUUAAUUCGAUGCAACGCGAAGAACCUUACCUGGUCUCGACAUCCACAGAACUUUCCAGAGAUGGAUUGGUGCCUUCGGGAACUGUGAGACAGGUGCUGCAUGGCUGUCGUCAGCUCGUGUUGUGAAAUGUUGGGUUAAGUCCCGCAACGAGCGCAACCCUUAUCCUUUGUUGCCAGCGGUCCGGCCGGGAACUCAAAGGAGACUGCCAGUGAUAAACUGGAGGAAGGUGGGGAUGACGUCAAGUCAUCAUGGCCCUUACGACCAGGGCUACACACGUGCUACAAUGGCGCAUACAAAGAGAAGCGACCUCGCGAGAGCAAGCGGACCUCAUAAAGUGCGUCGUAGUCCGGAUUGGAGUCUGCAACUCGACUCCAUGAAGUCGGAAUCGCUAGUAAUCGUGGAUCAGAAUGCCACGGUGAAUACGUUCCCGGGCCUUGUACACACCGCCCGUCACACCAUGGGAGUGAGUUGCAAAAGAAGUAGGUAGCUUAACCUUCGGGAGGGCGCUUACCACUUUGUGAUUCAUGACUGGGGUGAAGUCGUAACAAGGUAACCGUA
RNAcentral lists this ribosomal RNA (1517 nucleotides) under Escherichia coli. Its description in RNAcentral is "16S ribosomal RNA". It matches the Rfam family "Bacterial small subunit ribosomal RNA". The record is from RNAcentral. Lineage: Bacteria; Pseudomonadati; Pseudomonadota; Gammaproteobacteria; Enterobacterales; Enterobacteriaceae.